Molecule: ribosomal RNA, 293 nt
Filed under: uncultured bacterium
Lineage: Bacteria
Description: partial 16S ribosomal RNA
Rfam family: Bacterial small subunit ribosomal RNA
Source: RNAcentral
AUUCCUACGGGGGGCAGCAGUGGGGGAUAUUGCACAAUGGGGGGAACCCUGAUGCAGCGACGCCGCGUGAAGGAAGAAGGCCCUCGGGUUGUAAACUUCUUUUGUCAGGGACGAAACAAAUGACGGUACCUGACGAAUAAGCCACGGCUAACUACGUGCCAGCAGCCGUGGUAAUACGUAGGUGGCAAGCGUUAUCCGGAUUUACUGGGUGUAAAGGGCGUGUAGGCGGGAGAGCAAGUCAGCUGUGAAAUUCCAGGGCUCAACCCUGGAACUGCAUUUGAAACUGUUUUUCU